UACGUAGGUGGCAAGCGUUGUCCGGAUUUACUGGGCGUAAAGGGCGUGCAGGCGGUUUGCUAAGUCUAGGGUGAAAGCUCCCGGCUCAACUGGGAGAGGUCCUUGGAUACUGACAGACUUGAGGGAGGCAGAGGAGAAUGGAAUUCCCGGUGUAGUGGUGAUAUGCGUAGAUAUCGGGAGGAACACCAGUGGCGAAGGCGGUUCUCUGGGCCUUACCUGACGCUGAGACGCGAAGGCGUGGGGAGCGAACCGG
Molecule: ribosomal RNA, 253 nt
Filed under: uncultured bacterium
Lineage: Bacteria
Description: partial 16S ribosomal RNA
Rfam family: Bacterial small subunit ribosomal RNA
Source: RNAcentral